CUCUUCUUAGCCCAUAUUUAUUAUUCUCUUCUGCAUCUCAACAGGAGUAAUCUCAAUAGCCAAAAGCGAACGGGGAAACAGGUCAAAAUUAAGUACAAAAACAUUCUACAAAGUGGUAAGUAGCCUUUGCUGACAUGCGAAUUAUGAAUGUAAAAAUAGGAGCUUGAGCUGUUACUAUGUACAAUUGCAGCAGUCCUCUGAAGACAUCCCCCAAUUAACCCCAGCACUACUUGUUCAAGGUACACACUGCUACUUAUCCUCCAGCUGGGGGUCUCUCAGGUAUCUCUAACAGCUUGUCUUUGCCUUUUAGUGUGUGGGGACACAAUAAAUUUGCUUGACCCACCAACUCAAGAUGCUGACAUCAUCCCUGAUCCAUGUGUGCGUAUGUCAGAUGUAUCUUGAAUUCUAUAAGUGCAAGUCUGUCUUGUCAUGCUUUAAAUACUUUGAUGUGCAUCAAUCUGCAGGGUGGAGGACCAUCUGCCACAAGGGCCUGUGAGGAGGAGGAGGAGGACACCAUAUCAGCCCAAACUGAUCUGCAAGAGGUCAGGACAAAUGUGACGUUUGAUGGAGGUAUCUGAUUUCUACAGAUUAUAUAUAUAUACAUAUAUAUAUAUAACCAAACACCUUGCUGCAGGGCGUGACCAGAACCACGGAGCAGACGGCAUCAGCCAGACAUGAAGUAGGUUAACAAUUAAUUGAAUCUACCAACUAUGUGGCUGGGGACUCACAUACACUAUCUCUUACACAGGACAUUCGUUCCAUGUACAAACAGCCCCUUUAGCUGACAAUGGAUAACCAAAGGCUGGACCAGAAGAUGAAGCAUCUUCAAAUAAAGAAGCUGAAGUUGGAACUCAUGAAACUGGAGAAGGAUGCAAGAACAAGUCACACACUAGGAAGCUGUGGUUAC
Non-coding RNA from Xyrichtys novacula (pearly razorfish), 907 nucleotides. The record is from the annotation of a GenBank genome assembly. NCBI's taxonomy places the organism in Eukaryota, Metazoa, Chordata, Actinopteri, Labriformes, Labridae.